This 474-nucleotide ribosomal RNA is filed under the name uncultured soil bacterium. RNAcentral's name for it is "bacterial SSU rRNA". It matches the Rfam family "Bacterial small subunit ribosomal RNA", at positions 26 to 506 of the family's 1533-position model. The record is from RNAcentral.
AGGAUGAACGCUGGCGGCGUGCUUAACACAUGCAAGUCGAACGGUGAACUUGGGAGCUUGCUCCUGGGGGAUCAGUGGCGAACGGGUGAGUAACACGUGAGUAACCUGCCCUUGACUCUGGGAUAAGCGUUGGAAACGACGUCUAACACCGGAUACGAGCUUCAGCCGCAUGGCUAGGAGCUGGAAAGAAUUUUCGGCAAAGGAUGGACUCGCGGCCUAUCAGCUAGUGGUGAGUAACGGCCACCAAGGCGACGACGGGUAGCCGGCCUGAGAGGGUGACCGGCCACACUGGGACUGAGACACGGCCCAGACUCCUACGGGAGGCAGCAGUGGGAAUAUUGCACAAUGGGCGAAAAGCCUGACUGCAGCAAACGCCGCGUGGAGGGACGAACGGGCCUUCGGUGUUAAACGACUUUUAGAGGUAAGAAGACGAAGUAGACGUACGUAGCUAAGAAAAGACAACGCGUAACACGU